RNAcentral lists this transfer RNA (88 nucleotides) under Phaeobacter sp. 22II1-1F12B. RNAcentral's name for it is "tRNA-Ser". It matches the Rfam family "tRNA". Rfam says of the family: Transfer RNA (tRNA) molecules are approximately 80 nucleotides in length. Their secondary structure includes four short double-helical elements and three loops (D, anti-codon, and T loops). Further hydrogen bonds mediate the characteristic L-shaped molecular structure. tRNAs have two regions of fundamental functional importance: the anti-codon, which is responsible for specific mRNA codon recognition, and the 3' end, to which the tRNAs corresponding amino acid is attached (by aminoacyl-tRNA synthetases). tRNAs cope with the degeneracy of the genetic code in two manners: having more than one tRNA (with a specific anti-codon) for a particular amino acid; and 'wobble' base-pairing, i.e. permitting non-standard base-pairing at the 3rd anti-codon position. RNAcentral also lists the same sequence under 3 other names. Lineage: Bacteria; Pseudomonadati; Pseudomonadota; Alphaproteobacteria; Rhodobacterales; Roseobacteraceae. The record is from RNAcentral.
GGAAGAGUGGCAGAGUGGUCGAUUGCACCGGUCUUGAAAACCGGCGAUGUGAAAGCAUCCGUGGGUUCGAAUCCCACCUCUUCCGCCA